Molecule: transfer RNA, 69 nt
Filed under: Magicicada septendecula (seventeen-year cicada)
Lineage: Eukaryota; Metazoa; Arthropoda; Insecta; Hemiptera; Cicadidae
Also listed under: 1 other name
Description: tRNA-Ser
Rfam family: tRNA
About the family: Transfer RNA (tRNA) molecules are approximately 80 nucleotides in length. Their secondary structure includes four short double-helical elements and three loops (D, anti-codon, and T loops).
Source: RNAcentral
AGUUAAUUAGCUUAUAAGUAAAGCAUUUACUUUGAAAGUAAAGAAAAGAAAAUUGAGUUCUAUUAACUU